GGGUCUUUAGCUCAGUCGGUAGAGCAGUUGCCUUUUAAGCAAUUGGUCGCGGGUUCGAGUCCCGCAGGACCCAC
RNAcentral lists this transfer RNA (74 nucleotides) under bioreactor metagenome. RNAcentral describes it as "tRNA-Lys". It matches the Rfam family "tRNA". Rfam says of the family: Transfer RNA (tRNA) molecules are approximately 80 nucleotides in length. Their secondary structure includes four short double-helical elements and three loops (D, anti-codon, and T loops). Further hydrogen bonds mediate the characteristic L-shaped molecular structure. tRNAs have two regions of fundamental functional importance: the anti-codon, which is responsible for specific mRNA codon recognition, and the 3' end, to which the tRNAs corresponding amino acid is attached (by aminoacyl-tRNA synthetases). tRNAs cope with the degeneracy of the genetic code in two manners: having more than one tRNA (with a specific anti-codon) for a particular amino acid; and 'wobble' base-pairing, i.e. permitting non-standard base-pairing at the 3rd anti-codon position. The record is from RNAcentral.